The sequence is a small nucleolar RNA, 63 nucleotides long. It matches the Rfam family "Trypanosomatid snoRNA TB10Cs3H1".
AACAGUGUCGCUAUGCGUCUCCACUUUUACAUGUGGUGCCACGGUACGAAACACGUGUGAGAU